Long non-coding RNA from Macrobrachium nipponense, 362 nucleotides. RefSeq lists it as uncharacterized. The record is from RefSeq and is a predicted model, not a curated record. NCBI's taxonomy places the organism in Eukaryota, Metazoa, Arthropoda, Malacostraca, Decapoda, Palaemonidae. The transcript is spliced from 3 exons.
GCUCUAUUGACUAUAUAAGGAUAUACAGCUAUAUCUUUGAAGUGACGACGACUAUUCCUUUCGACAUGUAAUCGCCGUUUAAACCCAGCCAGGAAGAAGCAUUCCUUCAUCGCAGUCUCUCACUCUACACUUACUUCGCCUUCGUCCCAGGAUGAUAUCGGGAUAUAAUGAAUUAUGUACUACGUGGACGUCAGUUUGGACUGUUGGUAUAUAUAUAAUUUUAGAUUUUCCAAGGUAUUUUGGAAGUGGCUGAAUUACUGCGGCUCCCCCAAGCUUCACGAUGAUCAACUUUGUGUAUUAGCUGCCGCAUCAGCACCUGGAUGAUAGGACAGUUUUCAAUUACAAUAAAUUACUUAAUUUUU